GAUGAACGCUGGCGGCGUGCCUAAUACAUGCAAGUCGAGCGAACAGAUGAGGAGCUUGCUCCUCUGACGUUAGCGGCGGACGGGUGAGUAACACGUGGAUAACCUACCUAUAAGACUGGGAUAACUUCGGGAAACCGGAGCUAAUACCGGAUAAUAUAUUGAACCGCAUGGUUCAAUAGUGGAAGACGGUUUUGCUGUCACUUAUAGAUGGAUCCGCGCCGCAUUAGCUAGUUGGUAAGGUAACGGCUUACCAAGGCAACGAUGCGUAGCCGACCUGAGAGGGGGAUCGGCCACACUGGAACUGAGACACGGGCCAGACUCCUACGGGAGGCAGCAGUAGGGAAUCUUCCGCAAUGGGCGAAAGCCUGACGGAGCAACGCCGCGUGAGUGAUGAAGGUCUUCGGAUCGUAAAACUCUGUUAUUAGGGAAGAACAAAUGUGUAAGUAACUAUGCACGUCUUGACGGUACCUAAUCAGAAAGCCACGGCUAACUACGUG
This 497-nucleotide ribosomal RNA is filed under the name uncultured bacterium. RNAcentral's name for it is "partial 16S ribosomal RNA". It matches the Rfam family "Bacterial small subunit ribosomal RNA", at positions 28 to 507 of the family's 1533-position model. The record is from RNAcentral.